RNAcentral lists this unclassified non-coding RNA (283 nucleotides) under plant metagenome. RNAcentral's name for it is "partial contains 5.8S ribosomal RNA, internal transcribed spacer 2, and large subunit ribosomal RNA". The record is from RNAcentral.
GCGCCAACGCACUCACCGGGCGGGCAGGCCGAGUUGCUCGCGCAUGGCUUCCAGCGUCCCUCCAUGAUGGCGCGCCGGCGCGCGACUUUCUCGCCAAACUCAGCGAACUCCGGAGUGUCGCUCAGUGAUUCCAGGAGGGGAGAAUCUUCGAUCGCCACGGCAGCGUCGCGAUGGCCAUAACCGCUUAUCUGCGUGGCAUCUCGGCGCUUCGCACAGCGAAGCGGCUACACACACGUCCGUGCAGCUCCGCGUCGGUGUCAGCGCACCUCCUCACCCGACGGAA